UACGUAGGAGGCAAGCGUUGUCCGGAGUUACUGGCGUAAAGCGCACGCAGGCGGUCGUGUCAGUCUGGGGUGACAGUUUCCGGCUUAACCGGAAAAGGACUCUGGAAACUGCACGACUUGAGGGCUUCAGAGGGAUGUGGAAUUCCAGGUGGAGUGGUGAAAUGCGUAGAGAUCUGGAAGAACACCAAAGGCGAAGGCAAGCAUCCUGG
RNAcentral lists this ribosomal RNA (209 nucleotides) under uncultured bacterium. Its description in RNAcentral is "partial 16S ribosomal RNA". It matches the Rfam family "Bacterial small subunit ribosomal RNA", at positions 524 to 732 of the family's 1533-position model. The record is from RNAcentral.